GAUGAACGCUAGCGGCGUGCCUAAUACAUGCAAGUCGAGCGAACGGACGAGAAGCUUGCUUCUCUGAUGUUAGCGGCGGACGGGUGAGUAACACGUGGAUAACCUACCUAUAAGACUGGGAUAACUUCGGGAAACCGUAGCUAAUACCGGAUAAUAUUUUGAACCGCAUGGUUCAAAAGUGAAAGACGGUCUUGCUGUCACUUAUAGAUGGAUCCGCGCUGCAUUAGCUAGUUGGUAAGGUAACGGCUUACCAAGGCAACGAUGCAUAGCCGACCUGAGAGGGUGAUCGGCCACACUGGAACUGAGACACGGUCCAGACUCCUACGGGAGGCAGCAGUAGGGAAUCUUCCGCAAUGGGCGAAAGCCUGACGGAGCAACGCCGCGUGAGUGAUGAAGGUCUUCGGAUCGUAAAACUCUGUUAUUAGGGAAGAACAUAUGUGUAAGUAACUGUGCACAUCUUGACGGUACCUAAUCAGAAAGCCACGGCUAACUACGUG
This 497-nucleotide ribosomal RNA is filed under the name uncultured bacterium. RNAcentral describes it as "partial 16S ribosomal RNA". It matches the Rfam family "Bacterial small subunit ribosomal RNA", at positions 28 to 507 of the family's 1533-position model. The record is from RNAcentral.